AUUUUCCGGUUGAUCCUGCCGGACCCUACUGCUAUCGGGGUGGGACUAAAACAUGCGAGUCGAACGACUUCAAGCCAUGAUGAAGUCGUGGCGCACGGCUCAGUAACACGUGGCUAACCUACCCUUGAGACGGAGACAACCCCGGGAAACUGGGGCUAAUCCCAGAUAGACGAGAACUCCUGGAAUGGGUUCUCGUCCAAAAGGCAUCAAGAUCAUGCUUCUUGAUGUCGCUCAAGGAUGGGGCCGCGGCCGACCAGGCUGUUGGUGAGGUAACGGCUCACCAAACCUUUAACCGGUACGGGCCGUGGGAGCGGGAGCCCGGAGAUGGGAACUGAGACAAGGUCCCAGGCCCUACGGGGCGCAGCAGUUGCGAAAACUCCGCAAUGCACGAAAGUGUGACGGGGCUACCCCGAGUGCUGUCCGCUGAGGAUAGCUUUUCCCUGGUGUAAGGAUCCGGGGGAAUAAGGAGAGGGCAAGUCUGGUGUCAGCCGCCGCGGUAAUACCAGCUCUCCGAGUGGUAGGGAUGCUUAUUGGGCUUAAAGCGUCCGUAGCUGGCUUUUCAAGUCUCUCGUUAAAUCCAGCGAUUCAAUCGUUGGACUGCGGGAGAUACUGUGAGGCUUGGGGGCGGGAGAAGCCGACGGUAUUUCCGGUGUAGGGGUAAAAUCCUAUAAUCCCGGGAGGACCACCAGUGGCGUAGGCGGUCGGCUAGCACGCGCCCGACGGUGAGGGACGAAAGCUGGGGGAGCAAACCGGAUUAGAUACCCGGAUAGUCCCAGCUGUAAACGAUGCGGGCUAGGUGUUGAAGCGGCCACGAGCCGCUUCAGUGCCGCAGGGAAGCCAUUAAGCCCGCCGCCUGGGGAGUACGGCCGCAAGGCUGAAACUUAAAGGAAUUGGCGGGGGAGCACCACAAGGGGUGAAGCUUGCGGUUUAAUUGGAUUCAACGCCGGAAAU
Molecule: ribosomal RNA, 951 nt
Filed under: uncultured archaeon
Lineage: Archaea
Description: bacterial SSU rRNA
Rfam family: Archaeal small subunit ribosomal RNA
Source: RNAcentral